AGUGAACGCUGGCGGCAGGCCUAACACAUGCAAGUCGAACGGCAGCACAGGAGAGCUUGCUCUCUGGGUGGCGAGUGGCGGACGGGUGAGGAAUACAUCGGAAUCUACUUUUUCGUGGGGGAUAACGUAGGGAAACUUACGCUAAUACCGCAUACGACCUACGGGUGAAAGCAGGGGACCUUCGGGCCUUGCGCGAUUGAAUGAGCGGAUGUCGGAUUAGCUGGUUGGCGGGGUAAAGGCCCACCAAGGCGACGAUCCGUAGCUGGUCUGAGAGGAUGAUCAGCCACACUGGAACUGAGACACGGUCCAGACUCCUACGGGAGGCAGCAGUGGGGAAUAUUGGACAAUGGGCGCAAGCCUGAUCCAGCCAUACCGCGUGGGUGAAGAAGGCCUUCGGGUUGUAAAGCCCUUUUGUUGGGAAAGAAAUCCAGCUGGCUAAUACCCGGUUGGGAUGACGGUACCCAAAGAAUAAGCACCGGCUAACUUCGUGCCAGCCGCCGCAGUAA
Molecule: ribosomal RNA, 506 nt
Filed under: uncultured bacterium
Lineage: Bacteria
Description: partial 16S ribosomal RNA
Rfam family: Bacterial small subunit ribosomal RNA
Source: RNAcentral